ACUUUAAUUGAAGAGUUUGAUCAUGGCUCAGAUUGAACGCUGGCGGCAGGCCUAACACAUGCAAGUCGGGCGGCAGCGGGAAGAAGCUUGCUUCUUUGCCGGCGAGCGGCGGACGGGUGAGUAAUGUCUGGGGAUCUGCCCGAUGGAGGGGGAUAACCACUGGAAACGGUGGCUAAUACCGCAUAACCUCGAGAGAGCAAAGUGGGGGACCUUCGGGCCUCACACCAUCGGAUGAACCCAGAUGGGAUUAGCUAGUAGGUGGGGUAAUGGCUCACCUAGGCGACGAUCCCUAGCUGGUCUGAGAGGAUGGCCAGCCACACUGGGACUGAGACACGGCCCAGACUCCUACGGGAGGCAGCAGUGGGGAAUAUUG
This 373-nucleotide ribosomal RNA is filed under the name Xenorhabdus griffiniae. Its description in RNAcentral is "bacterial SSU rRNA". It matches the Rfam family "Bacterial small subunit ribosomal RNA", at positions 1 to 366 of the family's 1533-position model. Lineage: Bacteria; Pseudomonadati; Pseudomonadota; Gammaproteobacteria; Enterobacterales; Morganellaceae. The record is from RNAcentral.